CCUACGGGAGGCUGCAGUGGGGGAUAUUGCACAAUGGGGGAAACCCUGAUGCAGCGACGCCGCGUGGGUGAAGAAGCGCCUCGGCGCGUAAAGCCCUGUCAGCAGGGAAGAAAAUGACGGUACCUGAAGAAGAAGCCCCGGCUAACUCCGUGCCAGCAGCCGCGGUAAUACGUAGGGGGCAAGCGGUAUACGGAUUUACUGGGUGUAAAGGGGGCGCAGACGGCGAUGCAAGCCAGGAGUGAAAGCCCGGGGCCCAACCCCGGGACUGCUCUUGGAACUGCGUGGCUAGAGUGCAGGAGGGGACGGCGGAAUUCCAGGUGUAGCGGUGAAAUGCGUAGAUAUCAGGAGGAACACCGGUGGCGAAGGCGGCCUGCUGGACUGCAACUGACGUUGAGGCCCGAAAGCGUGGGGAGCAAACAGGAUUAGAUACCCCAGUAGUC
This 440-nucleotide ribosomal RNA is filed under the name uncultured bacterium. Its description in RNAcentral is "partial 16S ribosomal RNA". It matches the Rfam family "Bacterial small subunit ribosomal RNA", at positions 338 to 795 of the family's 1533-position model. The record is from RNAcentral.